AACGAACGCUGGCGGCAGGCUUAACACAUGCAAGUCGAACGCCCCGCAAGGGGAGUGGCAGACGGGUGAGUAACGCGUGGGAACGUACCUUUCGCUUCGGAAUAUUCCCGGGAAACUGUGAGCAAUGCCGAAUACGCCGUAUUGGGAAGGAUUUAUCGGCGAAAGAUCGGCCCGCGUUAGAUUAGGUAGUUGGCGGUGUAAUGGACCACCAAGCCUACGAUCUAUAGCUGGUCUGAGAGGAUGAUCAGCCACACUGGGACUGAGACACGGCCCAGACUCCUACGGGAGGCAGCAGUGGGGAAUCUUGGACAAUGGGCGCAAGCCUGAUCCAGCCAUGCCGCGUGAGUGAAGAAGGCCUUAGGGUUGUAAAACUCUUUCGCCGGUGAAGAUAAUGACGGUAACCGGAGAAGAAGCCCCGGCUAACUUCGUGCCAGCAGCCGCAAUAA
RNAcentral lists this ribosomal RNA (446 nucleotides) under uncultured bacterium. RNAcentral's name for it is "partial 16S ribosomal RNA". It matches the Rfam family "Bacterial small subunit ribosomal RNA", at positions 29 to 523 of the family's 1533-position model. The record is from RNAcentral.